UGAGGAAUAUUGGACAAUGGGCGCAAGCCUGAUCCAGCCAUGCCGCGUGCAGGAUGACGGUCCUAUGGAUUGUAAACUGCUUUUGUACAGGAAGAAACACUGGUUCGUGAACCAGCUUGACGGUACUGUAAGAAUAAGGAUCGGCUAACUCCGUGC
RNAcentral lists this ribosomal RNA (156 nucleotides) under uncultured bacterium. RNAcentral describes it as "partial 16S ribosomal RNA". It matches the Rfam family "Bacterial small subunit ribosomal RNA", at positions 355 to 508 of the family's 1533-position model. The record is from RNAcentral.